This 27-nucleotide small RNA is filed under the name Arabidopsis thaliana (thale cress). RNAcentral's name for it is "ATSL230250". The record is from RNAcentral. Lineage: Eukaryota; Viridiplantae; Streptophyta; Magnoliopsida; Brassicales; Brassicaceae.
UUUUGUUUUUAUGUUCGUCGAUCUUUU